CAGAAGCUAAGCAGAUGUCGGUGCCAUGCUUCCUAGACUUCUAAGCCUUCAGAACCAUGAGCUAAAUAAGCCUCUUUUCUUCAUAAAUUACUCAGCCUCAGGUAUUCUGUUACAGCAACAGAAAACACUAAGACGCUGUGCCAAUGCGCGAGUCCACGGCUCUUCACGGGACCUGGCAUGGGACGCACUGGCUCAGGGGCUCCAAGGCCACUCAGCUCUUCCUCAGCACAGUUUGGCUCAUCUCUCUGCUGACCAGCUUCCUACGCUUAGGGUUUCCAGUCCCCAAGACUUCCGUCCGUAAUGGACAUAAUGGUCUAUAAUGGCACCCAGCCCUAGUCCUCCUCCUGGACCAAUCAGUGCAGCCCCCAUAGCCACCAGGUCCAUCCCUCAGGUUCUAGAUUCCAAAUUCCAAAGAUGAGAAUCUGACCAGUCCCAGCUCUUUUGCCAGGGCACACGUUUCCAAGGGCAUGGGCCAGCCACUGGACAGGCCCUCUUCGGGUGAGCGAUGGCAAAAUAUAGGGUCCCUCCUAAGAACAGUCAUUAGGAGAGCAGCAGCUGUGAGGGCUGAUUAGCCUAGAAGGGAACAUUGGAUGUGUCAGCCAAUCCUCUAGCACAACAGAAUUAACAUAAAACAAGCAUUUUGGAUGAGGGAUACUCAACCUGCACUGUUACUCACUGGAGAGCGUCUGAGUGACCCACAGACUCACACCCCUUCUUACCCACCUCAUCUGCGGGGAGGCGGACCAGGACAUGUAGAGCAAGAUGAGGAAGAGCAGCACCACGAAGGCAGCCAGGCUCACCCAGAAUGCGAUCACGAUGGAAUCUGCGGGAGGAGGAGAUGCAUCUCAGCGCUGGGUUAUGUCAACAUAAAGCAACGCUGAGGGGCAGUAAGGAGUCCCAGGGUAUUGUGGAAUGAGGGCCCUGAGUUUCGGUUGUCCUCCAGCCUCUCAGCUGUUACCAUGGGGAAGAUCUCCCAUUAACAAUAACUUUGGGAAAGAA
Molecule: long non-coding RNA, 999 nt
Filed under: Homo sapiens (human)
Lineage: Eukaryota; Metazoa; Chordata; Mammalia; Primates; Hominidae
Description: HSALNT0403769
Source: RNAcentral